CCCUUAGACGUCCUGGGCCGCACGCGCGUUACACUGAUGCAUUCAACGAGCUUAUAACCUUGGCCGAGAGGCCUGGGCAAUCUUGUUAACGUGCAUCGUGAUAGGGAUAGAUUAUUGAAAUUAUUAAUCUUCAACGAGGAAUGCCUAGUAGGCGCAAGUCAUCAGCUUGCGUCGAUUACGUCCCUGCCCUUUGUACACACCGCCCGUCGCUCCUACCGAUUGGGUGUGCUGGUGAAAUGUUCGGAUCGGCCGUUUGUCGCGGUUUCCGCGUCAUGUGGCUGAGAAGUUCAUUAAACCCUCCCACCUAGAGGAAGGAGAAGUCGUAACA
This 328-nucleotide ribosomal RNA is filed under the name uncultured eukaryote. RNAcentral's name for it is "partial 18S ribosomal RNA". It matches the Rfam family "Eukaryotic small subunit ribosomal RNA", at positions 1470 to 1796 of the family's 1831-position model. The record is from RNAcentral.